GGAAGGAUCAUUAACACUAACUCAAAUAAUACUUAAACGCGUUAAAUCUUAACGACGAAGCGGUUUCGCCCAGUCGUAGCAAGCGUCUUGUCGGCCGGCGCGGUUUCGCGGAACUGGCAUAAAUAUGACAGCGCUCCUGCUGGAUUAACGCUUGAACGUUGAACGAUUUAACGGAGGGUAUCAUAGAUUUGAGGGGCUGGAUGAGAGAAUCGGAGUUCGUUUGGAGUGAGAGAAAGUGAAAGGUAUUGAACGUUGAACGUUGUUGGGCGGGAGCGUGUUGCCCUAAUGGGGUGCGUCUAUCGGCCCUCGCCGAGCCCGCUCGACUGAACCUAAACCUUCAGGCUCUCCGAAAACCAAACUUACCCUUUCCCCCUUCCCUUGUUAUCCCCCAUUUUUGAUAUUCCCCGGUGUUGCCUGUUGCCCCACGAAUGUAACUCAUCGAGCGUGUUUACGCUUAUUCUCUGGUUUUGUCUCAACUAUUUAAUUUUAGUUGAGUAAAAGAUGUCCCUUUCCGGAUGUCUUUUAACUAGAAAAAACUCUGUACAACUCUUAGCAAUGGAUGUCUUGGUUUCCGCCUCGAUGAAGAACGCGGCAAGAUGCGCUACGUGAUGCGAAUUGCAGAAUUCAGUGAAUCAUCAACUCUUCGAACGCAACUGGCACAGAGGCUGGUUUCGACCGGUUUUCUGGGCUCAGCUUGUCAGAGGCAAACAUAUAUCUCUUCAAUGCAGUGCCCAGCGGACUAGCAAUGGUUCGUUGUGGUCUUGUGCCUUUCGUUACUGCCUCCCUGAGGCUUUGUGACGGUGUUUGAGCGUCAUUUUUGUGUGAAAUGUCGCUUGAAAGAUACUCGAGAGAGUAUUUGAACGUAUCUGGGAAAACAACCAGAGUAAAUGACAUAAAUUGUGUCGACUCUGAACCGAUACCUUCUGUCUAGAGGGGGUGGACUUUGUUCACACAGGUCUGCUUCUUUCUGGGCUCUGCAAUAGCGGAGAUAGGAAAAGGCAAUUGGGAAUAACUCAAUUGUAAAAGGCAAUUGGGAAACUCAAUUGUAAUUACUUUCACAACUGCUGUUGACGGCCUGGGUAGAGAAAGACACAAAGGGUAUUUGAGGCAGUCGAUGCGGGUGUGUUGAGUCGUUUGAAGUUGUUUUCUGCUCUUUUUUGUUACGCCCUGACAUCUGUGGACUACCCGCUGAAUUUAAGCAUAUUAUUAAGCGGAGGGAAAGAAACUAACAAGGAUUCCCCUAGUAACGGCGAGUGAAGCGGGAAAAGCUCAAGUUUAGAAUCGGUGCUCGUAAGAGUGCUGAGUUGUAAUCUAAAGACGUUGUGUCAGUGGUGACCCGGGUAUAACUCCCUUGGAAAAGGGGAUCAUAGAGGGUGAUAAUCCCGUCUUUGACUCGGAGUUCGCCGCGUACGAUGCAUAGUCAUAGAGUCGGGUUGUUUGGGAUUGCAGCCCUAAAUGGGUGGUAAACUUCAUCUAAAGCUAAAUAUUGGCGGAAGACCGAUAGCGAACAAGUAGCGUGAGCGAAAGAUGAAAGAACUUUGAAAAGAGAGUUAAAAAGUACCUGAAAUUGCUAAGAGGUAAACGAUGGAAACUAGUAAUUCCUGAGGCUAUAUUUAGUCGGUGUCGUGCGACGGAUGCGUGCUCUGAGUGUAAAAGCCAGUGCUGUGUGUUCUCAAAGUACGAUGGCGAUGUCCUGUAGUCUUGGGCAAGUCAAGAUCAGUUGGAUCUGUCGAGAAAGCUCAUGGAAAGGUUCUAGAUGAUUGGGGAUGCUCAUUCGUUUAGAUUAUAGUCCGUGAGCCAUACGAUGGAUUAGACUGAGGAAAAGACAAGCACCCUUCAUUGGGAUUGGUGCCUCGGUCUGCUGCGUCAGCGGGUGUGAACAGCAAAGCUGUGCUACUUGCGAAGCGUGGUACUGCCUGGGGAUCCAUCAUUCGUGUCUUAGCGACGCUUGACGAAAUGGUUUUCAUUGACCCGUCUUGAAACACGGACCAAGGAGUCUAACAUCUAUGCGAGUAUUUGGUGAUUAAACCCUGAUGCGUAAUGAAAGUAAAGGAGGCGUAUGCCUCUGAGGUAGGAACCGUUCGAAUAGGAUGGGGCACUAUCGACCGAUCGACCACUUGUGGUAGAUUCGAGUUUGAGCAUAUCUGUUAGGACCCGAAAGAUGGUGAUCUAUGCCUGGCUAGAAUGAAGCCAGUGGAAACACUGGUGGAAGUUCGUAGCGAUACUGACGUGCAAAUCGUUCGUCGAAUCUGGGUAUAGGGGCGAAAGACUAAUCGAACCAUCUAGUAGCUGGUUCCCUC
RNAcentral lists this unclassified non-coding RNA (2300 nucleotides) under uncultured fungus. RNAcentral describes it as "sequence contains 18S rRNA gene, ITS1, 5.8S rRNA gene, ITS2, 28S rRNA gene". The stretch from base 1164 to 2300 matches the Rfam family "Eukaryotic large subunit ribosomal RNA", at positions 1 to 961 of the family's 3401-position model. Lineage: Eukaryota; Fungi. The record is from RNAcentral.